GAACGCGCUUCCCUAUAGAGGG
Molecule: microRNA, 22 nt
Filed under: Homo sapiens (human)
Lineage: Eukaryota; Metazoa; Chordata; Mammalia; Primates; Hominidae
Description: Hsa-Mir-430-P21_3p (mature (guide))
Source: RNAcentral